GGAAAGNNNCUGCAGUCGACGAUUCCUACGGGAGGCAGCAGUGGGGAAUCUUAGACAAUGGGCGCAAGCCUGAUCUAGCCAUGCCGCGUGAGUGAUGAAGGCCCUAGGGUCGUAAAGCUCUUUCGCCAGGGAUGAUAAUGACAGUACCUGGUAAAGAAACCCCGGCUAACUCCGUGCCAGCAGCCGCGGUAAUACGGAGGGGGUUAGCGUUGUUCGGAAUUACUGGGCGUAAAGCGUACGUAGGCGGAUCAGAAAGUUGGGGGUGAAAUCCCGGGGCUCAACCUCGGAACUGCCUCCAAAACUCCUGGUCUAGAGUUCGAGAGAGGUGAGUGGAACUCCGAGUGUAGAGGUGAAAUUCGUAGAUAUUCGGAAGAACACCAGUGGCGAAGGCGGCUCACUGGCUCGAUACUGACGCUGAGGUACGAAAGUGUGGGGAGCAAACAGGAUUAGAUACCCUGGCAGUCCACACCGUAAACGAUGAAUGCCAGUCGUCGGAUAGUAUACUAUUCGGUGACACACCUAACGGAUUAAGCAUUCCGCCUGGGGAGUACGGUCGCAAGAUUAAAACUCAAAGGAAUUGACGG
RNAcentral lists this ribosomal RNA (584 nucleotides) under uncultured Paracoccaceae bacterium. RNAcentral describes it as "bacterial SSU rRNA". It matches the Rfam family "Bacterial small subunit ribosomal RNA", at positions 299 to 916 of the family's 1533-position model. Lineage: Bacteria; Pseudomonadati; Pseudomonadota; Alphaproteobacteria; Rhodobacterales; Paracoccaceae. The record is from RNAcentral.